AUAUUGGUCAAUGGACGCAAGUCUGAACCAGCCAUGCCGCGUGGAGGAUUAAGGCCCUCUGGGUUGUAAACUCCUUUUAUCUGGGAAGAAAUGUACUUUUUCUUGAGUACUUGACGGUACCAGAGGAAUAAGCACCGGCUAACUCCGUGCCAGCAGCCGCGGUAAUACGGAGGGUGCAAGCGUUAUCCGGAUUCACUGGGUUUAAAGGGUGCGUAGGUUGGCAGGUAAGUCAGUGGUGAAAUCUCCGGGCUUAACCCGGAAACUGCCGUUGAUACUAUUUGUCUUGAAUAUUGUGGAGGUAAGCGGAAUAUGUCAUGUAGCGGUGAAAUGCUUAGAUAUGACAUAGAACACCAAUUGCGAAGGCAGCUUACUACACAAUCAUUGACGCUGAGGCACGAAAGCGUGGGGAUCA
Molecule: ribosomal RNA, 412 nt
Filed under: uncultured bacterium
Lineage: Bacteria
Description: bacterial SSU rRNA
Rfam family: Bacterial small subunit ribosomal RNA
Source: RNAcentral